GGGCGUUUAGCUCAGCUGGUUAGAGUACUACCUUGACAUGGUAGGGGUCACUGGUUCGAGUCCAGUAACGCCCA
This 74-nucleotide transfer RNA is filed under the name Fibrobacter sp. Its description in RNAcentral is "tRNA-Val". It matches the Rfam family "tRNA". Rfam says of the family: Transfer RNA (tRNA) molecules are approximately 80 nucleotides in length. Their secondary structure includes four short double-helical elements and three loops (D, anti-codon, and T loops). Lineage: Bacteria; Pseudomonadati; Fibrobacterota; Fibrobacteria; Fibrobacterales; Fibrobacteraceae. The record is from RNAcentral. RNAcentral also lists the same sequence under 3 other names.